This 814-nucleotide small RNA is filed under the name Pongo abelii (Sumatran orangutan). Its description in RNAcentral is "retained intron". Lineage: Eukaryota; Metazoa; Chordata; Mammalia; Primates; Hominidae. The record is from RNAcentral.
AGCACCCUCACACAUAGCAUUGUGUGUGUGUACAAGGGCUUCCACUGGAAAUAGCCUUGACGGGGAACAGCUGGAGCGAGGGUGUGCUUAUGUCAGAUUUUGGUGUAUGCUCUUAAGUGGCCCCUUACGAGGUUGUCUCAGUUUGCAUUGGCCCCUGCAGUACAUGAAGAAGCCCAGGGGAUGUCUGACCCACGUGGCUCUGCACCCCUGCAGGUACCUGGAAGAGGUGGGCUACACAGACACCAUCCUCGACAUGCGGUCCAAGCGCGUCCGUUCCCUGCUGGGCCGCUCGCUGGAGCUCAACGGGGCAGUGGAGCCGAGUGAAGGGGCCCCCAGGGCUCCACCAGGCCCUGCGGGGCUCAGUGGCGGGGAGUCGCUGCUGGUGAAACAGAUCGAGGAGCAGAUAAAGAGGAACGCGGCAGGCAAAGAUGGCAAAGAGCGCUUGGGCGGCUCAGUGCUGGGGCAGAUCCCCUUCCUGCAGAACUGCGAGGACGAAGACAGCGACGAGGACGAUGAGCUGGACAGUGUGCAGCACAAGAAGCAGCGUGUGAAGCUCCCAUCCAAGGCCCUGGUGCCCGAAAUGGAAGACGAGGACGAGGAAGACGACUCCGAGGAUGCUAUCAAUGAGUUUGAUUUCCUGGGCUCAGGAGAGGAUGGGGAAGGGGCUCCAGACCCUCGGCGGUGCACUGUGGAUGGGAGCCCCCACGAGCUGGAAAGCCGUCGGGUCAAACUCCAAGGCAUUCUGGCUGACCUGCGGGAUGUGGAUGGGCUGCCCCCAAAAGUGACUGGCCCGCCUCCUGGCACACCCCAGCCC